GCCUACGGGAGGCAGCAGUGGGGAAUAUUGGACAAUGGGCGAAAGCCUGAUCCAGCCAUGCCGCGUGUGUGAAGAAGGUCUUCGGAUUGUAAAGCACUUUAAGUUGGGAGGAAGGGUUGUAGAUUAAUACUCUGCAAUUUUGACGUUACCAACAGAAUAAGCACCGGCUAACUUCGUGCCAGCAGCCGCGGUAAUACGAAGGGUGCAAGCGUUAAUCGGAAUUACUGGGCGUAAAGCGCGCGUAGGUGGUUCGUUAAGUUGGAUGUGAAAGCCCCGGGCUCAACCUGGGAACUGCAUCCAAAACUGGCGAGCUAGAGUACGGUAGAGGGUUGUGGAAUUUCCUGUGUAGCGGUGAAAUGCGUAGAUAUAGGAAGGAACACCAGUGGCGAAGGCGACCACCUGGACUGAUACUGACACUGAGGUGCGAAAGCGUGGGGAGCAAACAGGAUUAGAUACCCCAGUAGUC
This 466-nucleotide ribosomal RNA is filed under the name uncultured Pseudomonas sp. RNAcentral describes it as "bacterial SSU rRNA". It matches the Rfam family "Bacterial small subunit ribosomal RNA", at positions 337 to 795 of the family's 1533-position model. Lineage: Bacteria; Pseudomonadati; Pseudomonadota; Gammaproteobacteria; Pseudomonadales; Pseudomonadaceae. The record is from RNAcentral.